This 449-nucleotide ribosomal RNA is filed under the name uncultured bacterium. RNAcentral's name for it is "partial 16S ribosomal RNA". It matches the Rfam family "Bacterial small subunit ribosomal RNA", at positions 29 to 523 of the family's 1533-position model. The record is from RNAcentral.
AGCGAACGCUGGCGGCAGGCCUAACACAUGCAAGUCGAACGAAACCUUCGGGUUUAGUGGCGGACGGGUGAGUAACACGUGGGAACGUGCCCUUUGGUUCGGAACAACUCAGGGAAACUUGAGCUAAUACCGGAUGUGCCCUUCGGGGGAAAGAUUUAUCGCCAUUGGAGCGGCCCGCGUAGGAUUAGCUAGUUGGUGGGGUAAUGGCCCACCAAGGCUCCGAUCCUUAGCUGGUCUGAGAGGAUGAUCGGCCACACUGGGACUGAGACACGGCCCAGACUCCUACGGGAGGCAGCAGUGGGGAAUCUUGCGCAAUGGGCGAAAGCCUGACGCAGCCAUGCCGCGUGAAUGAUGAAGGUCUUAGGAUUGUAAAAUUCUUUCACCGGGGACGAUAAUGACGGUACCCGGAGAAGAAGCCCCGGCUAACUUUGUGCCAGCCGCCGCAGUAA